GAUGAACGCUGGCGGCGUGCCUAAUACAUGCAAGUCGAGCGAACAGACGAGGAGCUUGCUCCUCUGACGUUAGCGGCGGACGGGUGAGUAACACGUGGAUAACCUACCUAUAAGACUGGGAUAACUUCGGGAAACCGGAGCUAAUACCGGAUAAUAUAUUGAACCGCAUGGUUCAAUAGUGAAAGACGGUUUUGCUGUCACUUAUAGAUGGAUCCGCGCCGCAUUAGCUAGUUGGUAAGGUAACGGCUUACCAAGGCAACGAUGCGUAGCCGACCUGAGAGGGUGAUCGGCCACACUGGAACUGAGACACCGUCCAGACUCCUACGGGAGGCAGCAGUAGGGAAUCUUCCGCAAUGGGCGAAAGCCUGACGGAGCAACGCCGCGUGAGUGAUGAAGGUCUUCGGAUCGUAAAACUCUGUUAUUAGGGAAGAACAAAUGUGUAAGUAACUAUGCACGUCUUGACGGUACCUAAUCAGAAAGCCACGGCUAACUACGUG
RNAcentral lists this ribosomal RNA (497 nucleotides) under uncultured bacterium. RNAcentral describes it as "partial 16S ribosomal RNA". It matches the Rfam family "Bacterial small subunit ribosomal RNA", at positions 28 to 507 of the family's 1533-position model. The record is from RNAcentral.